CAUCCGCGUGUGUGAAGAACGCCUUCGGGUUGUAAAGCACUUAGUGAGGGAAGAAACAGCUUGGCCACACCAAGCCUUGACGGUACCUCAAGAAUAAGCACCGGCUAACUCUGUGCCAGCAGCCGCGGUAAUACAGAGGGUGCAAGCGUUAAUCGGAUUUACUGGGCGUAAAGGGUGCGUAGGUGGUUGUAUAAGUCGGAUGUGAAAGCCCGGGGCUUAACCUCGGAACUGCAUUCGAUACUGUAUGACUAGAGUUCGGUAGAGGGCGGCGGAAUUUCCGGUGUAGCGGUGAAAUGCGUAGAUAUCGGAAGGAACAUCAAUGGCGAAGGCAGCCGCCUGGGCCUGAACUGACACUGAGGCACGAAAGCGUGGGUAGCAAACAGGAUUAGAUACCCUGGUAGUCCACGCUGUAAACGAUGAGAACUUGACGUUGGUUCGUUUUACGAAUCGGUGUCGAAGCUAACGCGCUAAGUUCUCCGCCUGGGGAGUACGGCCGCAAGGUUGAAACUCAAAGGAAUUGACGGGGGCCCGCACAAGCGGUGGAGUAUGUGGUUUAAUUCGAUGCAACGCGAAGAACCUUACCUGGUCUUGACAUCUACGGAAUCUUUCAGAGAUGAGAGAGU
This 623-nucleotide ribosomal RNA is filed under the name uncultured bacterium. Its description in RNAcentral is "bacterial SSU rRNA". It matches the Rfam family "Bacterial small subunit ribosomal RNA", at positions 394 to 1015 of the family's 1533-position model. The record is from RNAcentral.